CGCUCACAAACACCGGGGACCCUUUAAGGCCAAAUUAUUCAGUCAUCAAUAACUCUUCGCCAGAUGUUACAACGUAUAACUGUAUGUGAGUAGAUUAGCAUGAAGCGUAAACAGCUGGGCGUGUUGCUGAGUAAAGAGUUUAAUUACAAAUAAAUACACAGCCCCUCCCAGCAGACUAGAGGGGAUGCAAAUAUAGCCCACUGCCAGCUGCCUCUGAGCACACGGGCUCAUUGCUUGACAUUAGGAACAAAUAGAGUUUACACACGACACGGUCGGCUAUGAUUAUAAACCUCUAUGAAGUUACAUAACAGCAUUUAAUCUGACUGUUUUAUCCCAUUCAGUUUAACCAAGCUGCAGUAAUGCUUAAUGCAAAGAAGAAACAUUUUACAGAAAUUCAACUGAUUUUUUUUCCCCCGUGCCUUUAAAUUCAUCAUAGGCUUUAUCGGUCGCAGUGUGAGAGGAAGUAGCUGAGUCGGAGCGUGUAGAGUUUCGGUGUGUUUACGUGUGUAAUCCCGAAAGGUGCCAGCAAGUGGCAGAGGGCACUCGGGGGGGAGCAGAGGGCAGCGCUGAUGGGUUAAAACCAAAAUUCUUUAAUGCUUUCACUUUCCGACGGAAUUAAGGCCGGAAGCUCGAAUCUUUGCCUCCCUGCUGAGUUUGAAGCAGAGGCGUCGCUCUGGUUCGAGCGCCGAGAACCUUCUCUCAAGUCUGCGAACUGUUGAUGAAAGCAGACCCGAGGAGCCGUUUGCCCACUUUUCAGCUCAUCUCACGAACUUCAAAGUGUUACUGAUGCCGCAAGGAGGAACACAUAAGACACGGAACACACGGUUUUAGCCUGAGCAGAAGAGAUGGAACUUUACAAAAGCGGGUUUGUCAUCACGGAGGACAAGAAUCGAUUCUGCUGAAUGACAUGGUAACUGUCCCUGGUGAACUGAAGAAGCUGAAACACGUCUCUGCUACCGUUUUACCAAUACACCAGAAAA
Long non-coding RNA from Betta splendens (Siamese fighting fish), 980 nucleotides. RefSeq lists it as uncharacterized. The transcript is spliced from 4 exons. NCBI's taxonomy places the organism in Eukaryota, Metazoa, Chordata, Actinopteri, Anabantiformes, Osphronemidae. The record is from RefSeq and is a predicted model, not a curated record.